Erinaceus europaeus (western European hedgehog) is the source of this 134-nucleotide small nucleolar RNA. Its record names the gene SNORA70. It matches the Rfam family "Small nucleolar RNA SNORA70". From Rfam's summary of the family: snoRNA U70 seems to be exclusive to mammals and is a member of the H/ACA class of snoRNA which contain H (ANANNA) and ACA box motifs. The record is from Ensembl. Lineage: Eukaryota; Metazoa; Chordata; Mammalia; Eulipotyphla; Erinaceidae.
CUGCCUCUAAUUUAGCUGGCCCUGAUGCCCUCAUCUUGGCAUCUGGUCUGCAGUGGCUACAAACAGCAGCCUCCUGGAUAGUGUGUGCGGCCUAUUGCUUGUACAGGCUGCCCAAAGGGACUCUGGUGACAGCC